GAUGAACGCUAGCGGCAGGCCUAAUACAUGCAAGUCGAACGAGAUUGAUGUAGCAAUAUGACAUGAAAGUGGCGCACGGGUGCGUAACACGUAUGCAAUCUACCUUUGAUAGGGGAAUAGCUUCGAGAAAUCGGAAUUAAUGCCCCAUAACAUAUUUGAGUGGCAUCACUCGACUAUCAAACCUCCGGGGAUCAAAGAUGAGCAUGCGCAACAUUAGCUAGUUGGUGAGGUAAUGGCUCACCAAGGCUACGAUGUUUAGGGGGUCUGAGAGGAUGAUCCCCCACACUGGUACUGAGACACGGACCAGACUCCUACGGGAGGCAGCAGUAGGGAAUAUUGGUCAAUGGAGGCAACUCUGAACCAGCCAUGCCGCGUGCAGGAUGACGGCCCUCUGGGUUGUAAACUGCUUUUAUACGGGAAGAAAAAGAGCUACGUGUAGCUUAUUGACGGUACCGUAAGAAUAAGGAUCGGCUAACUCCGUGCCAGCCGCCGCGGUAA
RNAcentral lists this ribosomal RNA (498 nucleotides) under uncultured bacterium. RNAcentral describes it as "partial 16S ribosomal RNA". It matches the Rfam family "Bacterial small subunit ribosomal RNA", at positions 28 to 523 of the family's 1533-position model. The record is from RNAcentral.